This is a non-coding RNA of Podarcis lilfordi (Lilford's wall lizard), 73 nucleotides long. The record is from the annotation of a GenBank genome assembly. NCBI's taxonomy places the organism in Eukaryota, Metazoa, Chordata, Lepidosauria, Squamata, Lacertidae.
GCCCAUGUGGCUGUAGUGGUUAGAGUGUUUGGCUAGGACCUGGGAGACCAGGGUUCAAAUCCCCACUCAGCCA